This is a long non-coding RNA of Papaver somniferum (opium poppy), 929 nucleotides long. RefSeq lists it as uncharacterized. The record is from RefSeq and is a predicted model, not a curated record. The transcript has 3 exons. NCBI's taxonomy places the organism in Eukaryota, Viridiplantae, Streptophyta, Magnoliopsida, Ranunculales, Papaveraceae.
AAUUAAGGUGGCUGAAAGAUGAGGCACAGAAGGAGCAAAAUAUUGUGAGAAAGAAGAAGCUAAAAUGAUAUCAAGAAGCAACUGGAGUAGUUGUCGGAAGAACAAGAAAGACAAGAGAUACGACAUAACUGAUUUCAGAAAGUUACAAGGCAGGCAAAAUUGAUGCAACACUUACUUAAAAGUAAAAAGGAUAAUCUGUCUUCAGGGUUCACGUGUUAUGACUAACCCCAGAUUUAGCUUAUGUGAAUAAUGCCGUGGUUCCUUGGGAGGAAAUUCAAUCUGGAGUGCUCAUGUUGCUCUUGCAAUUGGCCAGGGGGUGUCAUCUGAACUUAUACGAAGGAGUAGGAUGCUAUUCUCUGACUUUCAGGACGGUGUCAAACAUAUGAUAAAGUGAAUGGGGAAGUUGCGGCAUCUCUCAUUUGAGAGCUACUGGAGAAUAAGGAGAUAGAUAAAGAAGAUGAACAUGAAAAGCUUUCAGAAAUUUGGAUUAUCUUCAUUAAAAAUUUAAAAUAGAUGUAUACCUUUUUUUUUAUUGUUUCGUUUUUCUCAAAUAUUUGUUUAGUAUUUCAACUCUCAAACAAUAACAGGAGACAGAGAAGCAAUGACACUUGGGUAAUGAUAUUAGAGAAAGCAAAGAAAUGAUUUCAUUUUGCAAGCAGGGAGGACUAGGGAUAACUGGUUAUAGUAGAGAUUUGCGAUGGAGGACAGGAAAGAAAAUGAAGCAAGUGAAACCCAAUAUUUUCUUGAUAUUAUACACUUGAUGUUAAAUUGAAAUCAGAUGGAAUGGAAAAACUCUCUUCACUGAGCCAGGUUAAUACCGACUAUGAUAGUAUGACUUUUUUCAGGGUUUAAAUCAGUAAGUGCUCUCCAUUAUGCCGUGCUCGGCUCUUGUAUUUAUUGAUGUUUCGGAAACAGUUCGUUUGGUUUGA